RNAcentral lists this long non-coding RNA (1293 nucleotides) under Parus major (Great Tit). RNAcentral's name for it is "lncRNA (ENSPMJG00000019202.1)". Lineage: Eukaryota; Metazoa; Chordata; Aves; Passeriformes; Paridae. The record is from RNAcentral.
GGGAUUUUUUUUUUUUUUUUUUUUUGCUGGGGACCUUUAAAAAGGGCUCUAGGUAGUUGUGAGUAGCUGGUUAAUCCAGAGCCACGUGGGACUUGCCAGCCCAAACAGACCCUGGGGCUGUGAGACUUUGAAACCUUAUGGGGUGAGAAAGGACUGAGGUCUGGGGAAGAGUUUGAAUCAAACAGUACUGGCUGAGUCCACUGGAACCUUUUGAGCAGAAGGGGAUGCUGUGAUGGGCUGCCCUGGAGCUCUGCCAGCUACUCCAGGGGAGGGACCUGCUCUGUGAAGACUUUCCUCCUUCUUUCUGUCAGAGGCAUCUUGAUAGGGAAGCUGAAGCAUGGGGGAAUAGCUUUUCUUUGUGGAACAACCCUGCUGUGUGCUUCUUUGUCCCUAUCCUUGCCUCUCCAUAGAAGACAGGCUGUGUGUGGACCACGUGCGUCUGUCGGACCACGGGAACUCUCCUGCUGUUUUAACUGUUUGUGGCUAAGAGUCCCUGAAAAAUCUUCAGCAGAAACAUGGAUGAAGUGCUCCUGGUGCAGUCUUUUACUCUCCUGUGUAGCUUUUUAUGAUAAAACAACUGUUUUAAGAAAGUAUUGGAAAGAGAGUUGGAAAAGGACUUUUCGGGAAAAGAGAAGGAAAUGAAAAAGUGGCAAGCAGAUAUUUUUAUUAUCUUUGAGGACAAGGAAAGAUUUAAAUAGAAGAUUUGCUAACAUCUUAUUUGAUGCAAAACUUGGUGUUUUUCUCAAUAUCUGGAACCCUGCUUUUCUGUUGGAAACCUUCCAGCUGAAGCAGCUCAUUUUGUGAUUUACAUCUCCUAUUUUAUCUCCACUUUGGCUGCCGGACAGAGCAUCCAUGGACACCCAUCCAUGGGUGCUUCAGCAUGAUUUCCAUCUCCUCAGCCAUCAGUGACUUAGAGUGACAGACGUCAGUCCAGCAGAGCUCAGUGGGGAUUACUGGGAGUGACUGAUCCCAGCCAUCCUUCUCCAGCAGGAUUGACACUGCCUUUAGUGCUCUCCCUGACAAAUUAUCAGUCACCUCCAGAUGACAGGGAUUGACUACCUCCUCAACCAUAGCAGAGCAAUGAGGCAAAGCUUUUAUUCCUACAUGUCACAUUUCCAUGGAUAAACGUAGGAAUGGAGCCUUGCAUGGUCACACUUGCCAAGUGUCUUUAGUAAUGGAUAUGGAUUUUAAACUGGAAUAGUGGUGGGUGACAACGUGGCUUGGGGGUAGAGGAAGGCUCUUGGGCUAUUUUCCCUGCUUAUUUAUUUCCAAUUAAAUAAAAAUCCCAUCUGU